RNAcentral lists this ribosomal RNA (489 nucleotides) under Blastocystis sp. RNAcentral's name for it is "SSU rRNA". It matches the Rfam family "Eukaryotic small subunit ribosomal RNA", at positions 460 to 953 of the family's 1831-position model. The record is from RNAcentral. Lineage: Eukaryota; Bigyra; Opalinata; Blastocystidae.
GGAGGUAGUGACAAUAAAUCUCAAUACGAAGCCUUUGGUUUUGUAAUUGAAUUGAGAACAAUGUACAAUCGUUAUCGAUAAACAAUUGGAGGGCAAGUCUGGUGCCAGCAGCCGCGGUAAUUCCAGCUCCAAUAGCGUAUAUUAACGUUGUUGCAGUUAAAAAGCUCGUAGUUGAAGUUUAGAUAAUUUAUUGAAAGUGUUUGUAUUCGUACAUUCUACUUUUAUGUAAGUUAUCGACAUCCAGGUGGGUGCCAUGGUUCUGCAAGGAAUUGUGGUACUAGACUGGUCAUUUACUGUGAGAAAAUUAGAGUGUUUAAAGCGGACUGUUCAGUUUGAAUAGAUUAGCAUGGAAUAAUAAGAUUGGCUUUCAUAGUCGAUUUUUUGGUUUGUUUAUGAAAGCAAGAUUAAUAGGGACAGUUGGGGGUAUUCAUAUUCAAUAGCUAGAGGUGAAAUUCUAUGAUUUAUGGAAGAUGAACAAGUGCGAAAGCA